Molecule: ribosomal RNA, 253 nt
Filed under: uncultured bacterium
Lineage: Bacteria
Description: partial 16S ribosomal RNA
Rfam family: Bacterial small subunit ribosomal RNA
Source: RNAcentral
UACGGAGGUGGCUAGCGUUGCUCGGAUUCAUUGGGUGUAAAGGGCAAGUAGGCGGCUUUGUAAGUCAGAUGUGAAAUCCCCGGGCUCAACCUGGGUCACGCAUCUGAUACUGCUAAGCUUGAGGACGGAAGAGGAGAGCGGAAUACCCGGUGUAAGGGUGAAAUCUGUAGAUAUCGGGUAGAACACCAGUGGCGAAGGCGGCUCUCUGGUCCGACCCUGACGCUGAGAGGCGAAAGCCGGGGGAGCAAACAGG